Long non-coding RNA from Malus domestica (apple), 1216 nucleotides. RefSeq lists it as uncharacterized. The record is from RefSeq and is a predicted model, not a curated record. NCBI's taxonomy places the organism in Eukaryota, Viridiplantae, Streptophyta, Magnoliopsida, Rosales, Rosaceae.
CCCUUCCUUCCUAUAUCUUCUCGACCCAACUUUUCUCUAGAUGCUUCCCCACCGUUUCAGACUUUAAACCCACCUUUUCGACUCAUGCUCUCACCGCCUCCCUCAUCGCCUCACUCUUCUCUGCACCAAGCCGCUCGAUUUAGGAAGGGCUUCACCAUUUCUCUUCAAUCGAGGUCUCUAUUUCUGGAUCUUUCUUUUGCUUUCGCCUAUUCUCUCUCGCAUAUCUCCAUUUGCUUUGUUUCUGGCCGUCCUUUUUUCUCCACUUUCGCUUCUGUUUUCUUCAUCGUGUUACUUCAUUGUUCAAAACGCGGGCCAUUUUGCUUAGUUGUUCUUCGAUUAGUGGUCACAGUUGUUAAUUUCUCUGCCUUUUUGGUUCGAUUCCAAUAAUUUUUUGGGUUUUUGGUUCGUUGAAUCCGGGUUUUCCAAAAAUUUUGUGCCCAUCUUGGGUUCGCUUCGAACUUGGUUGCGAUCGAUCUAAUCCGGCGUUUCCAGAUUCGGGAAACAGUCCCUUUCAGAUUUUGGAUUUUCGAUUCUGAUUCUUGGAACUCUCUGUGCUAAAGGUACAGAUAAUGGUCUGGACUUUGAAGGAAGCUUGCUUUGUGUUGGAAGUACGUUGAUGUCUUGAGCUCCCAUCGAAAUCUUUGAUAUCACUCCUCAUAGUUUGGUAGAAAGAAAAUGCCGGAGCCGCAGCAGAACGGGCAGUCCACUGCUGGAGCUGUGAGUAAUGGGAGUAGUAAUUCCUGUGUGGCAGCAAAUGGGAAUAUGUGAAGAGAAAACUGACUUGGCCAUCUAUGAGCAAUUUCAAUACCAGGACGAAUUCUAGGAUGGAGGUGGAAAUAUUUGGAAGAAUCAGAUGUGCCUAUUCAUUUGCAAGGUGAUUGUUUUACAGCUUAAAAUACCGUGCAAAUUUAUUUCACUAACAUUGCAUUGGUUUUUUAAUUUGAUAUGUUGUUUUGGUGUGUGAAAAUCGAAGAACUUUUAGAUGUUUGCAAAUUUGGUUGACACUUAAGUGGAAUUCAUUUUGGUCAAGGCAUUGGUUUGUGGCCAGUUGGAAUUCAUUUUGCUAAAAUAAGAUAAAUCUCUUUUUGCAGCCUGCAAUUGGCUUUCAAUUAGAGAACUGUACAAGGUUUUUUUUUUUUUUUUGUUCUUUGACCAAAGCUUUAAGAGCUUUGUAUUAACAGAGUCCUAAGAGAUUCCUUGGAUUAUUUUGCUUGAG